This 324-nucleotide ribosomal RNA is filed under the name uncultured Bacillota bacterium. Its description in RNAcentral is "bacterial SSU rRNA". It matches the Rfam family "Bacterial small subunit ribosomal RNA", at positions 28 to 351 of the family's 1533-position model. The record is from RNAcentral. Lineage: Bacteria; Bacillati; Bacillota.
GACGAACGCUGGCGGCGUGCCUAACACAUGCAAGUCGAGCGGGGAGAGAUUUUCGGAUUUCUCUUUAGCGGCGGACGGGUGAGUAACACGUGGGUAACCUGCCUCAAAGUGGGGGAUAGCCUUCCGAAAGGAAGAUUAAUACCGCAUAAUAUCAUGCGCUGCAUGGCGCAGUGAUUAAAGGAGCAAUCCGCUUUGAGAUGGACCCGCGGCGCAUUAGCUAGUUGGUGAGGUAACGGCCCACCAAGGCGACGAUGCGUAGCCGACCUGAGAGGGUGAUCGGCCACAUUGGAACUGAGACACGGUCCAGACUCCUACGGGUGGCAG